UGGGGAAUCUUAGACAAUGGGCGAAAGCCUGAUCUAGCCAUGCCGCGUGGACGAUGAAGGCCCUAGGGUUGUAAAGUCCUUUCGCUGGGGAAGAUAAUGACUGUACCCAGUAAAGAAGCCCCGGCUAACUCCGUGCCAGCAGCCGCGGUAAUACGGAGGGGGCUAGCGUUGUUCGGAAUUACUGGGCGUAAAGCGCGCGUAGGCGGAUCAGCAAGUUAGGGGUGAAAUCCCGGGGCUCAACCCCGGAACUGCCCUUAAAACUGUUGGUCUAGAGUUCGAGAGAGGUGAGUGGAAUUCCGAGUGUAGAGGUGAAAUUCGUAGAUAUUCGGAGGAACACCAGUGGCGAAGGCGGCUCACUGGCUCGAUACUGACGCUGAGGUGCGAAAGCGUGGGGAGCAAACA
RNAcentral lists this ribosomal RNA (402 nucleotides) under uncultured Alphaproteobacteria bacterium. RNAcentral describes it as "bacterial SSU rRNA". It matches the Rfam family "Bacterial small subunit ribosomal RNA", at positions 355 to 774 of the family's 1533-position model. Lineage: Bacteria; Pseudomonadati; Pseudomonadota; Alphaproteobacteria. The record is from RNAcentral.